RNAcentral lists this ribosomal RNA (445 nucleotides) under uncultured bacterium. RNAcentral describes it as "bacterial SSU rRNA". It matches the Rfam family "Bacterial small subunit ribosomal RNA", at positions 331 to 793 of the family's 1533-position model. The record is from RNAcentral.
CCAGACUCCUACGGGAGGCAGCAGUGGGGAAUAUUGCACAAUGGGGGAAACCCUGAUGCAGCGACGCCGCGUGAAGGAUGAAGUAUUUCGGUAUGUAAACUUCUAUCAGCAGGGAAGAAAAUGACGGUACCUGACUAAGAAGCCCCGGCUAACUACGUGCCAGCAGCCGCGGUAAUACGUAGGGGGCAAGCGUUAUCCGGAUUUACUGGGUGUAAAGGGAGCGUAGACGGCAUGGCAAGUCUGAUGUGAAAACCCGGGGCUCAACCCCGGGACUGCAUUGGAAACUGUCAGGCUGGAGUGUCGGAGAGGCAAGUGGAAUUCCUAGUGUAGCGGUGAAAUGCGCAGAUAUUAGGAGGAACACCAGUGGCGAAGGCGGCUUGCUGGACGAUGACUGACGUUGAGGCUCGAAAGCGUGGGGAGCAAACAGGAUUAGAUACCCUUGUAA